This 331-nucleotide long non-coding RNA is filed under the name Gallus gallus (chicken). The record is from RNAcentral. Lineage: Eukaryota; Metazoa; Chordata; Aves; Galliformes; Phasianidae.
CAGCAUUAAAUUUUCUCUUUCUUUCUCUCUCUCUUUUCAAACAGCACCAAGAAGACGGAAUGCAUAGGCAGCUAUUAGAAAAGCACUGUUAGUGCCCAAGUCAGGAAAUGCAGCUGUUAAAUCCCGAGCCAUACUGGAGCAGAGGUAUUUCAGAUGAAGCUGCCUUACAUCCCUUAACCCUUCCUCCUCUGGGAGAGAUGGAAAUUCUACUGGGAAGCCCUGGCAGGGCUUAGCACUGUCAGCACAUGAGCUCCCUGGCUGCCACCUCCUUAUUGGGCUGGAGGCACACUGAGGCUGGCAGCUGGCAAAAAAAAAAAAAAAAAGAAGAAAA